RNAcentral lists this small RNA (764 nucleotides) under Oryza sativa Japonica Group (Japanese rice). RNAcentral describes it as "sRNA Os04g0584002". The record is from RNAcentral. Lineage: Eukaryota; Viridiplantae; Streptophyta; Magnoliopsida; Poales; Poaceae.
GAGGCAACUCCAUAGCUAACUCAGCAGUUGCUAUGCUUGGUGUAGGACAUCUCUCUUCAAUAUCAAUCGUCGAGGUUGGCGACCCACCACUCUCACUUCCCAGUGUAUCAGCCCGUAUCUGUGGUACUGUUAACACUGACGUCGGCGACCCAUUGUCCUGGUCGUAGAGAGACUGCACCUGCAGCUGAGGCUUCUCUAGCUGUUUCAGUGCAGGGACGUUCUUGCUGGCUGUGCUCCCUAGAUUGCGUGGGUACGGAUGAACAGGCUUACGCUUCGGCCGCGGCGGGGGAAUCUGAAUUGAUGAUGCAGCACCCAAGCUGUUGCAAUUGUCCCCAGAUGAUUCUUUGAUGACCUGCAGCCGGAGUGCAAAGCAGAUAACGGUCAGGAAACAUGGUCUCGAGUGUGGCAGCAUGGAUUGCAAAGCAGCCUGCUCUCCAUGAUUGAGCAACUUACAUCACCUUGCAAGCAACACAAUCCAUGGAGGUUUUUCAAGUCAUUUAGGGAAUUUUUUGUGCACGAGAAGGCUGUGAGACCUUGGAGAAGAACUUCUGUGCGUGGCUCCUGAUCUGCACGGCAGUCUUGGUGCCUAUGUGCUCUGCAACCGGAGCGAGGUAUCCUUUGUCAGUAAAAUUCUUACCAAACCAGAAACUGUGCUUCACCGUUGCAGCUUCUUGCAGCGGUAAAAUUAGUACCUUGGAUGCGUCGCCAGGCUCGGCCAUGGAGCUGCAGGGCUUCCAAGAACAGCUUAUGUUCGUCCUCGGUCC